UUGUUUGAUAGAGGAGCGGAACACAUAAGUAUAACGCCGAGCGGGAGCGAUGAAGCGUUUGAAAGGGCAACCGCCGAAGUUUAAAAAGCAGCCAUGUUUUUUAUGCUGGGCCGUCAGUGAAUAACUGCCGGACUGUCGCCACAAUGGCGGAGGGCUAUCUCAAUG
This 165-nucleotide non-coding RNA is filed under the name Phascolarctobacterium sp. CAG:266. RNAcentral describes it as "Lysine riboswitch aptamer". It matches the Rfam family "Lysine riboswitch aptamer". Rfam says of the family: Riboswitches are metabolite binding domains within certain messenger RNAs that serve as precision sensors for their corresponding targets. Allosteric rearrangement of mRNA structure is mediated by ligand binding, and this results in modulation of gene expression. Lineage: Bacteria; Bacillati; Bacillota; Negativicutes; Acidaminococcales; Acidaminococcaceae. The record is from Rfam by way of RNAcentral. RNAcentral also lists the same sequence under 1 other name.